UGCGUAGGCGGAAUAUUAAGUCAGUGGUGAAAUCCCGCGGCUCAACCGUAGAACUGCCAUUGAUACUGAUAUUCUUGAAUGUAGUUGAGGUAGGCGGAAUGUGUAAUGUAGCGGUGAAAUGCUUAGAUAUUACACAGAACACCGAUUGCGAAGGCAGCUUACUAAACUAUGAUUGACGCUGAGGCACGAAAGCGUGGGGAGCGAACAGGAUUAGAUACCCUGGUAGUC
This 228-nucleotide ribosomal RNA is filed under the name uncultured bacterium. Its description in RNAcentral is "partial 16S ribosomal RNA". It matches the Rfam family "Bacterial small subunit ribosomal RNA", at positions 568 to 795 of the family's 1533-position model. The record is from RNAcentral.